Molecule: long non-coding RNA, 214 nt
Filed under: Lathyrus oleraceus (garden pea)
Lineage: Eukaryota; Viridiplantae; Streptophyta; Magnoliopsida; Fabales; Fabaceae
Description: Pisum sativum (pea) long non-coding RNA (PSAT_LNC002339)
Source: RNAcentral
GUAUAGAUCGUUUCUGACCUGUUGUGAAUUGUUGAUAGUAUUUUAUCUGUAUAUAACCAUCCUGCAAGGAAAAGGUUAGUUUAUGCAAUAUGUAUGCAUGCAUGGCAUGGUGCAUCUAAGUAAAUGUAUUAUGCACUUAUGGAUAUGCUAUGGUAUGAUGUAAAUGAUGUAUGUAUGAAUCAUGCGGCCUGAAGCGUCCGAAUAUCUUUGUAUA